CAUUUUGUGAGAACGGUGACAAACGCCAUUUUCUGUGUCUGAACCUGGAACCUCUCCCCAGUGCAUGCUGAGAGCAGAGUGGGGUGCGCACAGGCAGAUCAGAGUAUUGUUGGCUUUGGUCUACUCUAACCAUCUGCUGUUCUUCCCACUAGAUAUGUUUUCAGGUGCAGCAUUUGUAAAAUGCAGGAUAUCAAAUUUACCUUGGCCCCA
Molecule: long non-coding RNA, 210 nt
Filed under: Elaeis guineensis (African oil palm)
Lineage: Eukaryota; Viridiplantae; Streptophyta; Magnoliopsida; Arecales; Arecaceae
Description: long non-coding RNA (EGUI_LNC079596)
Source: RNAcentral